Molecule: ribosomal RNA, 250 nt
Filed under: uncultured bacterium
Lineage: Bacteria
Description: partial 16S ribosomal RNA
Rfam family: Bacterial small subunit ribosomal RNA
Source: RNAcentral
UACGAAGGGGGCUAGCGUUGUUCGGAAUUACUGGGCGUAAAGGGCGCGUAGGCGGCCUGACAAGUCGGGUGUGAAAGGCCUGGGCUUAACCCGGGAAUUGCGCUCGAUACUGUUAGGCUAGAGUGUGGGAGAGGAUGGCGGAAUUCCCAGUGUAGAGGUGAAAUUCGUAGAUAUUGGGAAGAACACCAGUGGCGAAGGCGGCCAUCUGGACCACAACUGACGCUUAGGCGCGAAAGCGUGGGGAGCAAAC